Long non-coding RNA from Silurus meridionalis, 1605 nucleotides. RefSeq lists it as uncharacterized. The record is from RefSeq and is a predicted model, not a curated record. The transcript has 3 exons. NCBI's taxonomy places the organism in Eukaryota, Metazoa, Chordata, Actinopteri, Siluriformes, Siluridae.
GUGUGUGUGUGUGUUUGUGUGCUCUAAUCACUGAACUGGCUUUACAUUACACAGACUUUCAUGAACCCUGAAACAGGAAGUGAACUGGUUCAGAACAACGACAAGUUAAACCACAAGCUUCAUUUUCACAUGUGCAGAUUAAAAUCAUCUGUUGAGAAGAUUCUCACAUCUGCACAUUUAUCUCCUCACCGUGAAGCUCUUCUCUGGUGGAAACUCCUGCAGGAUUUAUGGAUUUGAUCUGUCAAGUUCAUUUCAUUAGUCUAAUCUUUUUUGUAAUUCGUGUUAAACAAUAAACCGAUUUUUUUUAUCAGGUUAUUGUUACAGUAAACCUUCAGGAAUCAGUCUGUCUUUGCUGUCCAAGGAGGAUUCCCUCAAGGAACCAGAGAGAGCAGUAUGUUCUUGGUGGUGUGAUACUUUUUCCGUCAAUGAAGUAUCCAUUUAAAAAAAUAAUGCUAUGAACAUUUUUUGAUGCAGACAGUGGGACUGGAUAAGAUGGUGACUGAAGACCAGAGUGCAGAGGAACACCAACAAGAGAAACUGUUGUCCAAGAGAAGUGAGACUGACCUGAGUGGACCUUUCUUUAAACAGAUGUUCCAGCUCUGAGCAGCAUGAUGAGGCAAUUGCUUUUCGUACCCAUUCCACAGAUGAUGCACCGGUCUUACUCAGAAUCAAGAAGACUUUUCAGUAUAGGCAUAGGCUUGUCCAUGAUCAAGACAACAGACAUUCUGAAAGCCUUUCCUCGUUUUUUUGGGACUGGUAAGUUUGGAGAUUAAUUAAAAGUGUCAUGCACAGGAUUUAUGUGGAUUUUAUUUAAGGUGAAUCCAGACUUCUCACUACUCUUCAUUACUGAAAUAUCGUCUAAGUUGCUUUAAAGGUGGGCACUUUCAGGGCAAAAAUCAUUCAUGGACAUUACUUCAACUGCUUGUACACUCAUAUCUUAUGGUCACAUGUCUUACCUUCUUUAGUGGCUCCGGCCACUAACACAUAAUACAUUACCUCUAAAUUUAAACCCCCAAGCGAGCAAAAUGAACAAAAAACAACACAGUGGAUUAACGUUUUCUAUUCGAUUUAGAAAAUACCAGUUUUUAUGGUCGUUUCAUUUUAUUUUGUUGUAUUAAUCCACCAAACCUUAAAGGGUUAGGAUCCAAAAUAUUGUCUGACAUUAAACCGGGCCGUGGCAGAAAACAAGGGUUGGGGACCACUGCAUUAAUGCAUGUAAUUCCUGUAGUUUUCAAAAUAGCCAAGAUCCUGUUUAUUGCUGAUUGUAUAUCAUUUAUAGUCAAUAAGCUUGUGACUGAUUAUUUAUGCGUUUGUAGUAUGCAGUGUUGAAGACAAGGAAACUGUUAUUGAACUUGAAAAUCUGCAGCUUUACGAGCAUUUUGAUAUACAGUGUGCUUCUGGGGCAGAAAAAAGCAUGUGUGUUUUACUUCCUCAUUAUUAAAUAUAGUGUUUGAAUGAACGCUUUUCAGAGUUUGUGUUUUGAGAAGUUUAUUUGUUUUCUUUAGUUGAAAAGAAGCUAUGCUUUUCUAAUUUAUUGUAAAUUAACAAGUAAUUUUUGGAAAAUGUUUAUCCUAUUUAUUAUUCACAUUUUAGACAACAGUGAUG